GUGCGGCUGCUAUACUGCAGUCGAACGCUUCUUUUUCCACCGGAGCUUGCUCCACCGGAAAAAGAGGAGUGGCGAACGGGUGAGUAACACGUGGGUAACCUGCCCAUCAGAAGGGGAUAACACUUGGAAACAGGUGCUAAUACCGUAUAACAAUCGAAACCGCAUGGUUUUGAUUUGAAAGGCGCUUUCGGGUGUCGCUGAUGGAUGGACCCGCGGUGCAUUAGCUAGUUGGUGAGGUAACGGCUCACCAAGGCCACGAUGCAUAGCCGACCUGAGAGGGUGAUCGGCCACAUUGGGACUGAGACACGGCCCAAACUCCUACGGGAGGCAGCAGUAGGGAAUCUUCGGCAAUGGACGAAAGUCUGACCGAGCAACGCCGCGUGAGUGAAGAAGGUUUUCGGAUCGUAAAACUCUGUUGUUAGAGAAGAACAAGGAUGAGAGUAACUGUUCAUCCCUUGACGGUAUCUAACCAGAAAGCCACGGCUAACUACGUGCCAGCAGCCGCGGUAAUACGUAGGUGGCAAGCGUUGUCCGGAUUUAUUGGGCGUAAAGCGAGCGCAGGCGGUUUCUUAAGUCUGAUGUGAAAGCCCCCGGCUCAACCGGGGAGGGUCAUUGGAAACUGGGAGACUUGAGUGCAGAAGAGGAGAGUGGAAUUCCAUGUGUAGCGGUGAAAUGCGUAGAUAUAUGGAGGAACACCAGUGGCGAAGGCGGCUCUCUGGUCUGUAACUGACGCUGAGGCUCGAAAGCGUGGGGAGCAAACAGGAUUAGAUACCCUGGUAGUCCACGCCGUAAACGAUGAGUGCUAAGUGUUGGAGGGUUUCCGCCCUUCAGUGCUGCAGCUAACGCAUUAAGCACUCCGCCUGGGGAGUACGACCGCAAGGUUGAAACUCAAAGGAAUUGACGGGGGCCCCCCAAGCGGUGGAACAUGUGGUUUAUUCUAAGCAACGCGAAGAACCUUACCAGGGCUUGAAAUCCUUUGACACCCUAAAAAAAAAAAUUCCCCUUCCGGGCAAAGAGA
RNAcentral lists this ribosomal RNA (1018 nucleotides) under Lactobacillus sp. Its description in RNAcentral is "bacterial SSU rRNA". It matches the Rfam family "Bacterial small subunit ribosomal RNA", at positions 37 to 1034 of the family's 1533-position model. Lineage: Bacteria; Bacillati; Bacillota; Bacilli; Lactobacillales; Lactobacillaceae. The record is from RNAcentral.